Molecule: transfer RNA, 65 nt
Filed under: Arctonoe vittata
Lineage: Eukaryota; Metazoa; Annelida; Polychaeta; Phyllodocida; Polynoidae
Description: tRNA-Leu
Source: RNAcentral
AAUUAGUUGGCAGAUGAAUGCACCUGAUUUAGGCUCAGCCCAUGAGGUGAAUUCCUCACUAAUUA